This 1336-nucleotide ribosomal RNA is filed under the name uncultured organism. RNAcentral describes it as "bacterial SSU rRNA". It matches the Rfam family "Bacterial small subunit ribosomal RNA", at positions 91 to 1427 of the family's 1533-position model. The record is from RNAcentral.
GUUAGUGGCGAAAGGGUGAGGAAUAGAUAGGAACGUACCCCGUACUCCGGGAUAGCGUCAGGUGCUUGCACCUUUCCGAAAGGGGCGGUAAUACCGGAUAAUGUCUACGGAUCAAAGAUUUAUCGGUAUGGGAGCGGCCUAUCUCCUAUCAGCUUGUUGGUGAGGUAAUGGCUUACCAAGGCUACGACGGGUAGCGGGACUGAGAGGUUGGCCCGCCACAUCGGGACUGAGACACUGCCCGGACCUCCACGGAGGGCUGCAGUAACGGAUAUUGGGCAAUGGGCGAAAGCCUGACCCAGCAAUGCCGCGUGCAGGAUGAAGCCCCUCGGGGUGUAAACUGCUGUCAGGGGCAAGAAAGUCUUCGGAUUGAUCAGCCCCAAAGGAAGUCACGGCUAACUUCGUGCCAGCAGCCGCGGUAAUACGAAGGUGGCGAGCGUUAUUCGGAAUCAUUGGCGUUAAAGGGCACGCCAGGCGGGAUAGCAAGGGUCAAGUGAAAUCCCCCGGGCUAACCGGGGAAAUUGGCUUGACAAACUGCUGUCCUUGAGACAGGCAGGGGUGCAUGGAACUCUUGGUGGAGCGGUGGAAUGCGUAGAUAUCAAGAGGAACGCCGGAGGUGAAGACGGUGCACUGGGCCUGUUCUGACGCUGAGGUGCGAAAGCGUGGGGAGCAAACGGGAUUAGAUACCCCGGUAGUCCACGCCGUAAACGAUGCCUACUAGGUUGUGGGAGUUCUGACGCUCUCACAGCCGCAGCAAAAGUGUUAAGUAGNCCGCCUGGGGAGUACGGCCGCAAGGUUAAAACUCAAGGGAAUUGACGGGGGCUCACACAAGCGGUGGAGCAUGUGGAUUAAUUCGAAGCAACGCGCAGAACCUUACCUGGGUUUGACAUGCUUGGAUGCCUGCCUGGAAACAGGUUAGGCUGCCCUUCGGGGUGAAACUUGCACAGGUGCUGCAUGGCUGUCGUCAGCUCGUGUCGUGAGAUGUCGGGUUAAGUCCUUUAACGAGCGAAACCCUUGCCGUUAGUUGCCAGCGGGUCAUGCCGGGGACUCUAACGGGACUGCCGGUGUUAAACCGGAGGAAGGUGGGGAUGACGUCAAGUCCUCAUGGCCUUUAUGCCCAGGGCUUCACACGUGCUACAAUGGCAGGUACAGAGGGAUGCGAGACCGCAAGGUGGAGCGAAGCCCAAAAAACCUGCCUCAGUUCGGAUUGCAGGCUGUCAAUUCGCCUGCAUGAAGUUGGAAUCGCUAGUAAUCGCGUAUCAGCUAUGACGCGGUGAAUGUGUUCCUGAGCCUUGUACACACCGCCCGUCAAGUGAUGGAAGCCGGGAGUACCCGAAGU